Molecule: long non-coding RNA, 557 nt
Filed under: Zonotrichia albicollis (white-throated sparrow)
Lineage: Eukaryota; Metazoa; Chordata; Aves; Passeriformes; Passerellidae
Description: lncRNA (ENSZALG00000006978.1)
Source: RNAcentral
UUUCUUCCUGUUUCUCUUGAUCAAAUUCAGAUGAAUAAUCAGGACUCAAUCUUUGUGUUGUUUUCAGCACAUGAUACUAUUGAAGAAAUUUUCAGCCAAGAGGAACACAAAAAUAAGGAUGUAAAAAUGAGUUACUUGAUAUUAUCUGGAAUAUGCAGCUUCAGGAGCUGUUCUUCCAUCUUCAUCUCCUUCUUUCAAGAGCCUCCGAACUAAAAGAUUCCUCUAUUUGUGUUCAUAUUUGAGAAACAAGUAUUUGCUACAUAUUCCUAACAGUUUAAAGUAUGAAGAAUUUGUAUUUAUUGAUGUUUUUCUCCCACACUGGUCUUGCUCAUACUUGUUUUUUUUUUUUUUUUUGCCCCCAAAGGAAAGAUUCAGUGCAUAUGUAGUAGAUGAUAAGAAGCUCAAUCUAUUUAAACUGGAAAUGUACCUUGUUAAAAUACCAAAUGAAUUUUUUGGUUUCACUAUGUAGUAUACUGUUUUUCCCCCCAUCUUACUGGUUUUAAAAUCCUGAUUGGGUAAUGUUUGGAGGUGCUGGCUGGAGUUACUUUUAGUCUUGU